Long non-coding RNA from Rhincodon typus (whale shark), 568 nucleotides. RefSeq lists it as uncharacterized. The record is from RefSeq and is a predicted model, not a curated record. Lineage: Eukaryota; Metazoa; Chordata; Chondrichthyes; Orectolobiformes; Rhincodontidae. The transcript is spliced from 3 exons.
GACCAGUGUAAACCACGUGAUCAUCCACGCGCGCAGUGCAGAGUCGCUGAGACCGAGAUUUGUGCAAUUGAGAUACCAGCGAUCAUUCCCAAAGCCCUGUUGCCUGUGGAAAAGGUGAUGUUUGACUUUCUUGUGCUGCUGCAGUUUGUAUGAUGAAGGUGCUCCCACAAUGCGGUUAUUUGAAAAGUUACAGAUCAUUCAUCUAGCGAUACUGAAGAGCUGAUGGUGAUUCGAACCCAGGUCCCCAGAACGUUAGCUGGGUCUCUGGAUUAAUAAUCCAGCAAUAAUACUGCUGCCGAUUUAUCAACCGAGGGAGGAUGGUACAUGGUAAUCAGCAGGAGCCAUGAGACUCCUAGGCGUCAGAGUCAGUGUUGAGUACUCUCAGGUCAAAUCAAUCUGGUCAGAAUACCACUGUGUUGCUACGUCUGCCAGGUCUGUCCUUCUCGUGGGACAGGACUCAUCUAAGGACAGUGAUAGUGACGUGUGUCAUUGUCUGUAAGGUAUGAUUCCAUGCAUAUGACGCUGUUUCUUGACUAGUCUUUGAGUCAGCUCUCCAAAUUUUGCCACU